GUUCACUUUGGCAGCACAUACACUAAAAUUAGAAUACAAAAGAGAUUAGCAUGGCUCUUGCACAAGGAUGACACACAAAUUCAUGAAGCAUUCCAUAUUUUA
Molecule: small nuclear RNA, 102 nt
Organism: Pipistrellus kuhlii (Kuhl's pipistrelle)
Lineage: Eukaryota; Metazoa; Chordata; Mammalia; Chiroptera; Vespertilionidae
Source: RefSeq, a predicted model, not a curated record